UCAACUGUAAAUUCUACAAUUGGCAAUCCUUGUUCGAUGGUGAUUGGACACAGCUCAAAUUUGCUUUCAGCAGCGGGCUGUCCAGAAAGCUUUGAUGCAUAAGAUUGAUUGGAUCUAUGUCCAUUUUGGUUUUCUGUAAUGGUAUUAACAGCCUCUCCCACAGCCUCAGGCUGGGGAGAGGAUAUCACUUCCAUCGAUCAGAAUAUAAUCAGCAACAUGAAGUGAUGCAAACUAUACC
This 238-nucleotide long non-coding RNA is filed under the name Nicotiana benthamiana. RNAcentral's name for it is "long non-coding RNA (NBEN_LNC025898)". The record is from RNAcentral. Lineage: Eukaryota; Viridiplantae; Streptophyta; Magnoliopsida; Solanales; Solanaceae.